UGCUCGCGCACCCAACUACUUACCACCUAUCCUUCUCAGUUACUUCACGGGCGAUGUUACGCUCGAUGAUCGGAUCCGGGGCCUGUGUUGCGUACCUAACUAGAAGGUAUUGUUGAGUUUGGUUUACACCUUUGUCCGCGGCAUCUCCUUCGUGGGGAAGUCGUGGGCACAAAAAUCGGCCCUUGUUUACCUCUCGACAUUGCAUUUGUUGCCUUGUUCGCAUUGGUGAAUAAGUUGCCGGUUGAAAUCUCGGAUGCGGAAAAGUUGUAGACGGUGACUCGAAGUGAUUCAGUCCCGCCAAAGCUCAUCCGUCCUUCGGGCAAAAGAUGACAGUCAAAACCUCGUCCUUUCUCUCUUUCCUUUGCGUUUGCGAGAAUGUGUCGGGGAAUUGCUGUGAUCGAUGAAUGCUACCUGGUUGAUCCUGCC
RNAcentral lists this unclassified non-coding RNA (426 nucleotides) under Arabidopsis arenosa. Its description in RNAcentral is "partial external transcribed spacer; ETS". The record is from RNAcentral. Lineage: Eukaryota; Viridiplantae; Streptophyta; Magnoliopsida; Brassicales; Brassicaceae. RNAcentral also lists the same sequence under 2 other names.